RNAcentral lists this non-coding RNA (117 nucleotides) under Janibacter hoylei. Its description in RNAcentral is "SAM-IV sequence". It matches the Rfam family "SAM (S-adenosyl methionine) riboswitch aptamer". From Rfam's summary of the family: SAM-IV is a mRNA element that regulates gene expression via direct sensing of S-adenosylmethionine (SAM or AdoMet). The record is from RNAcentral. Lineage: Bacteria; Bacillati; Actinomycetota; Actinomycetes; Micrococcales; Intrasporangiaceae.
GGUCACGAGUUCCAGCGUCAAGCCCCGGCUCGCUGGACAGCAACCCUCCAACUCGCGGUGGGGUGCUCCGGGUGAGGACCUGGCUCCGGUCACUUCCGGUCGGAGCAAGCGCGAGGC